GGUCUCCAACGAGCUGUGCUGAGAGGCCACGCGGGAUUGGGAGAGGCUUCACCUUGUGUGUUGCCAUUCCAUCCACUUCUGGUACCGGGCAUCGGUCUGCCAGGGUUGUGCGCAUUGCGGCGCCGCCCGGGACCGAAGGCACGGGGACGA
Molecule: non-coding RNA, 150 nt
Filed under: unclassified sequences
Description: cold-seep-1 RNA
Rfam family: cold-seep-1 RNA
About the family: Environmental, Norwegian cold seep. Environment (Cold seep)
Source: Rfam by way of RNAcentral